GAAAGCUAAGUGUUGAUGACAGUGUGGGCCUGACCGUGCCUGAGUAAGCCCCAUGGGAACACAGCCGUGGUGGGAAGCAGCUUCCCAGCAGCCCUCCCCGCCAUCGGGAGAAUCCCCUGAGGCCAUGAGAGGGUCUCAGGGAGGUGGACGGCCCAUCAAGUGAGAACCGAGGGCACUGUGCACUCCUGAAUCCUAGGACUCCUCUUAGGUCAUUGACUAACAACAUCAACAAUGAAAUGAAUCUGAGAAAACAGGAAAUUGAGAGCAAGAGAAAAAAAAGUUAAUUAUACUGAUUUUGUAUAAGACCCCUUUGAACACAUUUUUAAAAAAUCAAAUAGAAGGUGCCCAGGUCCACUGUGCCUUGUGAAUAUUUGUCUUGUAUAUCCUAGAGAUCUACGCAUUCAUGUGGGAAUUGAAAAGGACCCACAUUUUACUAGAAGCAUCGUUCAUUUUUGCCUCAAAACAAUGCCCACAUGUCAGAAGAACUUUCACAAUUCACAGGAACAGUGACCUAAUUAACCAACCAUAAAAUUGCCAAAUCCCUACUUCUCAUUGUUUAAUAUGCUUAGAAAACCCAUUCAAAUUGUGAAUUAUCAAGUGAGCUUACACUGAUAAAUAGAUCCAAUAUUUAGGAAUUUUUAAAUCUUCCAUUCCUUUUUUUUUUUUGUCUUUUUAAAAAUAGAACAUUAGAAUAUGUCCUCCAGGUUUUAGAGAUGGGGGAGACAUGCUUCCCUUUAUUUCUCAGUAACUCAGCCAAAAAAAAUCUGGAGAGAAUGCAAAGACAGCUACUGGAAACUUUGAAAAGUAGAUGUGAGCCCAUCAGGGAAGAGCUAGAGAAUCUGAAAUCUACUCGAAAAAGUGAGUUUGAUACUUUGUGUUCCUAUCCUAACUCCACACAGCCUGAAACUUGGAAGUGAGCAUGAUGGAGUGGAUACAGUGAGAUGCAGAAGAAAUCCUCCAGUUUGGGCUGGAAGGGAAAAAAGAGACCCCUAAAACUCAGAGACAGUGGAAGAAAUUCCUGGUGUUUUUUUCUUCUCUUUUUCUCUGUUCUUCCACAUAGCAAUUUAGUAUUGACUACAGCAUCUCUGUUACAAUGAUAGCACCGAAAUGUUGUAACCAUAUGGCCUGCAAAGCCAAAAAUACUUAUCUGACCAUCUACAGGAAAAGUUUGCUGAUCUGGAUGAAAUAUUCUGAUACUAAAUAUUCCAUUUUGAGGCUGAUAUUCCUAAUCUAUUCAUAAGGAUGGCAUAUCUACCCAGUGGGCCUGCUGGGACUCCAGUUACCCGAUGCACAUACAUUGCUUGGUGUGGCAGUUUCGUGUGCAUUUUUGGUGAUGAUGCUCCACGGAACAUCUGCAGAUGUGCUGUCAAUUUGGACAGCUCUGACUACCGAGUGAAUGGGAAGUACUAACGAGAACUGUCUGCUUGGGAACUCCAUGAAGUUCGUGGCUUUUGUGAUUGAAAUAGCAUCAAUAAAAGGUUGACACUGUGGAACAACACAAGCCUGCAUGGACCUGGUUAUCUCUGACCUCGCACCACUCAUGAGACCAUACCUGAGCCCUACUCCACUUUGGCAGAACUGUUGCAUGGCCUCUCUUCAUAUAAUACCUCUCCGUACACCGUACACCGCAGCUCAAAGAAAGGAUAUAUGCUCCCUGUGAAGACUAAUGGAACUGUCCCUCCUGAUCCUCCUACAGACUUCCUCUGGCCUAAUGGGUGCACCAUUGCAUUAUAUCUGCCAUCUAUACACACAUAUACCUUUCAACCCUGCACUCUCUGAGAUGACUGGACUCAUGCCUAAAUAACUGAUGCUGUCCCUAGUGUAAGGUAAGCACUCAAUAGUUUCUCAGGAAAUGAAUAUGAUAAAUAUUUUGGCUGUUUAGAGGCUUUCCUU
Molecule: long non-coding RNA, 1893 nt
Filed under: Homo sapiens (human)
Lineage: Eukaryota; Metazoa; Chordata; Mammalia; Primates; Hominidae
Description: long independently transcribed non-coding RNA 2248 (LINC02248)
Source: RNAcentral